GACGAACGCUGGCGGCGCGCUUAACACAUGCAAGUCGAGCGAGAACCAGCCCUUCGGGCUGGGAAGCGGCGAACGGGUGAGUAACACGUGAGUAAUCCACCCCUCGGUACCGGGAUAGCCCGGGGAAACCCGGAUUAAUACCGGAUGGCCCAGCAGCUCUUUGGGGCGGCUGGAAAAGGUAGCUUCGGCCUCCGACCGAGGACGAGCUCGCGGCGGAUUAGCUUGUUGGUGGGGUAACGCCUACCAAGGCGACGAUCCGUAGCUGGUCUGAGAGGACGAUCAGCCACACUGGGACUGAGACACGGCCCAGACUCCUACGGGAGGCA
RNAcentral lists this ribosomal RNA (326 nucleotides) under uncultured bacterium. RNAcentral describes it as "bacterial SSU rRNA". It matches the Rfam family "Bacterial small subunit ribosomal RNA", at positions 28 to 350 of the family's 1533-position model. The record is from RNAcentral.